Molecule: transfer RNA, 67 nt
Filed under: Anolis carolinensis (green anole)
Lineage: Eukaryota; Metazoa; Chordata; Lepidosauria; Squamata; Anolidae
Description: tRNA (ENSACAG00000028239.1)
Source: RNAcentral
AAGAGGUGUUUUGAACACUAAGAACUGCUAAUUCUUUUUACUGAAGUUAGACCCUACAGGCCUCUUA